Molecule: ribosomal RNA, 466 nt
Filed under: soil fungal sp. DM2-074
Lineage: Eukaryota; Fungi
Description: eukaryotic LSU rRNA
Rfam family: Eukaryotic large subunit ribosomal RNA
Source: RNAcentral
AGGAAGCUUUAGGCGCGGCACCAACUGAGUCCCCUGGAACGGGGCGCCACAGAGGGUGAGAGCCCCGUAUAGUUGGACGCCUAGCCUGUGUAAAGCUCCUUCGACGAGUCGAGUAGUUUGGGAAUGCUGCUCAAAAUGGGAGGUAAAUUUCUUCUAAAGCUAAAUACCGGCCAGAGACCGAUAGCGCACAAGUAGAGUGAUCGAAAGAUGAAAAGCACUUUGAAAAGAGGGUUAAAUAGCACGUGAAAUUGUUGAAAGGGAAGCGCUUGUGACCAGACUUGCGCCCGGCUGAUCAUCCGGUGUUCUCACCGGUGCACUCUGCCGGGCUCAGGCCAGCAUCGGUUCUCGCGGGGGGAUAAAGGUCCUGGGAACGUAGCUCCUCCGGGAGUGUUAUAGCCCAGGGCGUCAUGCCCUCGCGGGGACCGAGGUUCGCGCAUCUGCAAGGAUGCUGGCGUAAUGGUCAUCA